AUACGGAGGAUCCGAGCGUUAUCCGGAUUUAUUGGGUUUAAAGGGUGCGCAGGCGGGAGAUUAAGUCGGCGGGGAAAUUUUUCAGCUCAAAUGUAAAAGGGCCUUCGAAACUGGUUUCCUUGAGUGUAGAUGAAGUAGGCGGAAUGUGGGGUGUAGUGGUGUAAUGCAUAGAUAUCACGAGGAACUCCGAUUGCGCAGGCAGCUUACUAAACUACUACUGACGCUCAGGCACGAAGGCGUGGGGAUCAAACAGGAUUAGAUACCCUGGUAGUCCACGCAGUAAACGAUGAUUACUAGCUGUUUGCGAUACAAUGUAAGCGGCUGAGCGAAAGCGUUAAGUAAUCCACCUGGGGAGUACGUUCGCAAGAAUGAAACUCAAAUGAAUUGGCGGGG
Molecule: ribosomal RNA, 393 nt
Filed under: uncultured bacterium
Lineage: Bacteria
Description: partial 16S ribosomal RNA
Rfam family: Bacterial small subunit ribosomal RNA
Source: RNAcentral